Molecule: ribosomal RNA, 271 nt
Filed under: uncultured prokaryote
Description: partial 16S ribosomal RNA
Rfam family: Bacterial small subunit ribosomal RNA
Source: RNAcentral
UACGGAGGAUGCGAGCGUUAUCCGGAUUUAUUGGGUUUAAAGGGUGCGCAGGCGGGAGAUUAAGUCGGCGGUGAAAUUUUGCAGCUCAACUGUAAAAGUGCCUUCGAAACUGGUUUCCUUGAGUGUGGAUGAAGUAGGCGGAAUUUGUGGUGUAGCGGUGAAAUGCAUAGAUAUCACGAGGAACUCCGAUUGCGCAGGCAGCUUACUAAACCAUAACUGACGCUCAGGCACGAAGGCGUGGGGAUCAAACAGGAUUAGAUACCCCGGUAGU